UACGUAGGGGGCUAGCGUUGUCCGGAUUUAUUGGGCGUAAAGAGCGUGUAGGCGGCCAGGUAGGUCUGCUGUGAAAACUCGAGGCUCAACCUCGAGACGUCGGCGGAAACCAUCUGGCUAGAGUCCGGAAGAGGAGAGUGGAAUUCCUGGUGUAGCGGUGAAAUGCGCAGAUAUCAGGAAGAACACCCGUGGCGAAGGCGGCUCUCUGGGACGGUACUGACGCUGAGACGCGAAAGCUAGGGGAGCGAACUGG
This 253-nucleotide ribosomal RNA is filed under the name uncultured bacterium. RNAcentral's name for it is "partial 16S ribosomal RNA". It matches the Rfam family "Bacterial small subunit ribosomal RNA", at positions 524 to 776 of the family's 1533-position model. The record is from RNAcentral.